Molecule: non-coding RNA, 117 nt
Filed under: Pan troglodytes (chimpanzee)
Lineage: Eukaryota; Metazoa; Chordata; Mammalia; Primates; Hominidae
Source: Rfam by way of RNAcentral
GCCGGGCGUGGUGGCUCAUGCCUGUAAUCCCAGCAAUUUGGGAGGCCGAGUCGGGUGGAUCACCUGAGGUCAGGAGUUCGAGACCAGCCUGGCCAACAUGGUGAAACCCCGUCUUUA